Long non-coding RNA from Bos taurus (domestic cattle), 902 nucleotides. The record is from Ensembl. Lineage: Eukaryota; Metazoa; Chordata; Mammalia; Artiodactyla; Bovidae.
AAUAAAAACAACAAUAACAAAGAGCGAGUGAAGACGCACAUCCACUCCCAGACGUGCCAGGCCCCUACCCGGGCCGAGGCUGGGGGGCAGUGGGCUCAGGUGGGCUUCUGGGGCCCAGGCCUGGGGCAGCCCCACCGCCAUCGCGGCCAGGUGAGGCUCAGGGGUCGGCGGGGCAGGGGGCAUCUUCCCAAAAGGAGUCCUAGACAGGGAUUCUCAAAGCGAGGUCCCAGAACCUCUCAGGGGAUCCAGAGAACAAACGAUCAAAACUACUUUCUUGAUGAUAGUAAGAGAUUUGCAUUUUUCACUCUCACUUUCUCGCAGGCAGGUGUUCCACGGAGUUUUCCAGAGGCUACGUGAGGCGUGAUCUCGCGAGAGCUUCAAAGCCCUGGCAGGUGUGAUAACCCAGCUGGCCUUGUGUUAACCUCACUCAAGAGAGCUGCGAAGUGAAACACAAGGCCACUCUUUGGGCUGCUUUGCUGGUUUUAAGACAGAGCUAUUUUUCAUUAAAAAAAAGUGCAUUAUUCCUGUGAGUACAGUGAGUUCGUUGUCAUGAAGCAACGAAUGCAUAAAGACCUCUGUUUUUUCUCAGCUUUAAUUUCCAUCGCUGCAAAUGUCGAUAUACACAUACACAACAGCUCUGGGCCUGCAAUGAUUUUUUAAACGCUAAGGGGCCCUGAGACCCCCAGUGUCUGAGACCUGCUGCCUGAGACACGUGGCUAAUGAUUGAUUACAGCUCCUCUGCGCACCCAGCCUCAGUGGAGGACACACACAGGGAGCGCGUAUUGAGUCCUUUCGGCGCCCAGCCCCCAGCUAAAGGCUUUACAAGGUCAUCUCAGGGAAUCCUCACACCAGCCUUAUGCGGGCGGUAAUGUCAAGGCCGAGGAGGAAACCCAGGCUGAGCU